RNAcentral lists this long non-coding RNA (2994 nucleotides) under Homo sapiens (human). RNAcentral describes it as "non-protein coding lnc-RPRML-6:1". The record is from RNAcentral. Lineage: Eukaryota; Metazoa; Chordata; Mammalia; Primates; Hominidae.
GCAUUUUGUUGUGCAUGUUUAUAAGGCAUUCAGGAAAUGAAACACAAAUAAUGGUGUUUCUGUCCAUUUCACUGCCUUUACACCAGGGUAUGCUUUGACGCACAGUGCUGUGUUGCAUUAAAGGAACCCUAUUGGAUUUUAAGUGUGUGAUGCGGUGCCAAGUCAUUUUCCCCCCUGACAUCUGGAGAAACUGUAUCUUUUGUGCCUUGGUAAUGGACCAGGUCUGGGAGACUUCAUCCCACUAUAUGAUCUUUAACUUGAUCAGAAUUGACCUCUAUCAACUGCUGUCAUUGAGUCAUGGACUUUAUUUUGAAGUUAUAAAGCAAACUGAUUUUUAGAAAUUCCUUCAUAUUGCCCUUAAAAGGCUUGAGGUAUCAAACAGUAAAUAUUUUAAUAUAUCACUACUUUCAUAUUUAUUUCAUUUUUCUAAACAGCAUGAAAUACUCAUUUCUUCUAGUUUGGUUUUUUUCUCCAGCUGUUUACAUAUAGCAGCUAUUAGUGUUUGAAUUAAUAAAACGUAAGAUUAUAUCUUAUGAAAUUUACCUGUCUGUAAGUUGUAUUAGUUUUUCUAGAGCUAUUUCCAUCCAAAUUCUUUUUACCAGUAUAGUUUCUUUUAAGAUUUUUUUUUAUUCUGGCUGUAGAUGAGGUAAUUAUAUAUAUAUAAUUUUUUAAGGCCUAACAUGAACUUAAAUAGAUAAGCAGAUUACUCAAGUUAUUUAAUUUCUGUUGCAUAUUCUUAUAAUUUUGUUUUAAUAGUUAAUGAUUUUUUUUUUUUUGCCUUCUCUGGCCCCAGAAGUCUUCUAAAGUGAUAAACUAGUUGCAUUGAUAGACUAUAACCACCAUUUAAUAAUAAUUUCAGACUUUAUAAAAGCAUGGAAGGCCGGGCGUGGUGGCUUACACCUGAAAUCCCAGCACUUUGGGAGGCUGAGGCGGGUGGAUCACCUGAGGUCAGGAGUUCGAGACCUGCCUGGCCAACACAGUGAAACCCUGUCUCUACUAAAAAUAUAAAAAAUUAGCCAGGCGUGGUGGUGGGCGCCUGUAAUCCCAGCUACUUGGGAGGCUGAGGCAGGAGAAUUGCCUGAACCCAGGAGAUGGAGUUUGCAGUGAGCCGACAUGGUCCCGCUGCACUCCAGCCUGGGCGACAGAGUGAGACUCCAUCUCAAAAUAAAUAAAUAAAUAAAAAAUAAAAGCAUGGAAAAGAAAAGGAAUAUGUAGCCUGUUUCUAGAUAGUACCCAUCAGGUUUCCUGUUUGUCCUUAAAGUACUCUGAGCAGUAAUACAUGACAGAUUGCGUGUAUUUGGAAAGCAAUGAGAGUAAGUUGGAAAAUUGUUCUUUCUUGGAAUGCCUCAGAGUUGAUGGUAUUACUAGGCAUAGGAAAAAGUUCACAGAAAAUAUGAAGAACUGUUUUCUGCAUUUUUUUUUCUUUAAAGUUUUAAUGUAGAAUGGCCAGUCCGAUAUACCAUAUAUGCCUAAAUUAAAACUCCGUCUCAAAUUACUACCUCUCAGAAGAGUAUUACUUUAUAUUUGAGUCCUUACAAAAGUCUCACAUAUGAGGCAGAAUUUCUGUCAGUUCUUUUAUUUUUAAUGGUAACUAUUUGGAAAGACACACUAGCCUAAGUGACUUCAGUGAGAGCUUUUUGAAUAUUUAUAAAAGUCACCUGGUGAAAUUGGUUUUUAAAAAAGAAGCAAAGAGAUUUUAUAUAGAUUUAGCAAUUAUUCCUAGGGGUAAGACUUCACAGAAGUGUUGGAUGAAGUUGUAAAUAAGCCUUUCGAAAAUUAAUUUAAUAAGCAAUAUAGCAAUUGGGUACUAUAUACAUGAUACUGUUUUAGAGAUCAUUAGAUGGUGAAGGAGUACUCUUGGCUGGGGAUAAAAUGUUCAGGGACAGCAUCUAACAUGGAUUCAAAGAGUAACAUAUUUUGGCUACUCAAUGAGAAAUUUAGAUUUAAUGUGCAUUGGUAAUGAAUAACCAUUAUAUGAGCAGAAGAGUUUUUGAGCAGAGGAAUUAUGUAAUAAAAGCACCACUUUGGGAAUAUUUAUCUGGUGCUGUUGGAAAGGGAGGAAGAGACAAGAGUUAGACAUACAGACUAGUAGAAUAAUCCAACUGCAUGAUCAUGUAGACCAGGGCUGCUUAAUCUGAGCACUAUUGACAUUUGGGGCAAGCUAAUACUUUGUUGGAAGCUGUGCAUUGUAGAAUGUUUUGUAGCAUCCCUGGCUUCUAACCACUGGAUGACCCCUCCAUUUGUGACAACCAAAAAUACCCUCUAGACAUUGCUAAAUGUUGGGGCAUUAAUUGGGAGUAAGAAGGCAAAAUUGCCCAGAGUAAGAACCACUGACGUGCAUCUAAACUAAAUCAGUAUCCUAGAAAUUCAAUUAUAAUGUAUAAUAUGAAAUUUCAACAGUGAUUUUUUUCUUUGUAUCUUCUUACAUUGUCUGAAGCCUUUAUUAUCCAUUUAUUUUAUGGUUUUUAAAAAAGGGCAGCUGACUGGGCACAGUGGCUCACGCUUGUAAUCCCAGCACUUUCAGAGGCUGAGGCAGACAGAUCACUUGAGCCAAGGAGUUCAAGACCAACAAAUAAAAUAAAAUAAAGACAGCUUUUUUGACAAAAACAAGAACACAAAAUGUAUAAAAAAUUUAACAAAAACAAGUAAACAAAUUUUUUGUAAUAAGCUUUCUCUAACAAAAAAUUUAUAAUGAUUACAGGCCGGGCGCGGUGCCUCACGCCUGUAAUCCCAGCACUUUGGGGGGCUGAGGCAGGCGGAUCACGAGGUCAGGAGAUCGAGACCAUCCUGGCCAACAGGGUGAAACCAUUCCUUCUCUACUAAAAAUACAAAAAAAAUUAGCCGGGCAUGGUGGCAGGCACCUGUAGUCCCAGCUACUCAGGAGGCUGAGGCAGGAGAAUGGCGUGAACCCAGGAGGUGGAGCUUGCAGUGAGCCGAGAUCGCGCCACUGCACUCCAGCCUGGGUGACAGAGUGAGACUCUGUCUCAAAAAAAA